RNAcentral lists this ribosomal RNA (478 nucleotides) under uncultured beta proteobacterium. RNAcentral's name for it is "bacterial SSU rRNA". It matches the Rfam family "Bacterial small subunit ribosomal RNA", at positions 97 to 570 of the family's 1533-position model. The record is from RNAcentral. Lineage: Bacteria; Pseudomonadati; Pseudomonadota; Betaproteobacteria.
GGCGAACGGGUGAGUAAUAUAUCGGAACGUGCCCAGNUAAUGGGGAAUAACUAACUGAAAGGUUAGCUAAUACCGCGUACGACCUACGGGUGAAAGCAGGGGAUCUUAGGACCUUGCGUUAUUGGAGCGGCCGAUAUCUGAUUAGCUUGUUGGUGGGGUAAAAGCCUACCAAGGCAACGAUCAGUAGCUGGUCUGAGAGGACGAUCAGCCACACUGGAACUGAGACACGGUCCAGACUCCUACGGGAGGCAGCAGUGGGGAAUUUUGGACAAUGGGGGAAACCCUGAUCCAGCCAUCCCGCGUGAGUGAAGAAGGCCUUCGGGUUGUAAAGCUCUUUCGAAAGUGAAGAAAACUUAUUUCGUAAUAUGUUAUAAGUAUGACGGUAACUUUAGAAGAAGCACCGGCUAACUACGUGCCAGCAGCCGCGGUAAUACGUAGGGUGCGAGCGUUAAUCGGAAUUACGGGGCGUAAAGCGUGC